This 71-nucleotide transfer RNA is filed under the name Oscarella microlobata. Its description in RNAcentral is "tRNA-Trp". It matches the Rfam family "tRNA". From Rfam's summary of the family: Transfer RNA (tRNA) molecules are approximately 80 nucleotides in length. Their secondary structure includes four short double-helical elements and three loops (D, anti-codon, and T loops). The record is from RNAcentral. Lineage: Eukaryota; Metazoa; Porifera; Homoscleromorpha; Homosclerophorida; Oscarellidae.
AGGAGAUUCGGUUAAUGGUAGGCCAGUAGCCUUCAAAGUUAUUAGUAUUGGUUCGAUUCCAGUAUCUCCUG